AUAUAUUUAAUGAGAUUAAAAACUAUUUGCUUCCAAAUCUUCACGAAUCCUUGAAUAUUUCAGAUUUUACGUUUCACUGUACUGGACCAAGAAUCUAAAAAAUCCUUUUAGUGAAUUCGAAUAAAGUCGUUUUUGGUUUUAAGUGUAUUGACCUCUCUUUUGCUGGUCACGCUAAAGUUUAGAGCACUCAAAAGUUGUACUUAAGUGCUGUGUACUUCAACAGCAACAACAAUAAGAUCAUUAACUGUAUAUUGUUAAGGAGAAACUCGGAACAAACGCAUUCAACUAACAAUGAAACCAUUUUUAUCUAAUUAAUGUUCAUCACAUCAAAUUUGAUAAUGAGCGCAUUUCAUGUAAACUCAUGUGAAACGAUGGAAUCUGUCGAAUAAUAUUUUUUAUGUGCGAAUAUUCAGAAUUCUUCUAAAAGUCCAGUAAUUACAUACUAAUCGUUCGUAAAAUUAUGUUUACGGUUAGAUUACUAUUGCAUCGUAGGCCUAGCAUUAAUUGUCAAGUCAGCAAUUCAACAAUGAUAUUUAUAUGUGGCACAUAUUCUUUUUCUCA
Schizosaccharomyces pombe (fission yeast) is the source of this 561-nucleotide non-coding RNA. The record is from the annotation of a GenBank genome assembly. NCBI's taxonomy places the organism in Eukaryota, Fungi, Ascomycota, Schizosaccharomycetes, Schizosaccharomycetales, Schizosaccharomycetaceae.